This 604-nucleotide ribosomal RNA is filed under the name uncultured bacterium. RNAcentral's name for it is "bacterial SSU rRNA". It matches the Rfam family "Bacterial small subunit ribosomal RNA", at positions 338 to 1252 of the family's 1533-position model. The record is from RNAcentral.
CCUACGGGAGGCAGCAGUGGGGAAUAUUGGACAAUGGGCGAAAGCCUGAUCCAGCAAUGCCGCGUGAGUGAUGAAGGCCUUAGGGUUGUAAAGCUCUUUUACCAGGGAUGAUAAUGACAGUACCUGGAGAAUAAGCUCUGGCUAACUCCGUGUCAGCAGCCGCGGUAAUACGGAGGGAGCUAGCGUUGUUCGGAAUUACUGGGCGUAAAGCGUACGUAGGCGGUUAUUCAAGUCAGAGGUGAAAGCCUGGAGCUCAACUCCAGAACUGCCUUUGAAACUAGAUAGCUAGAAUCUUGGAGAGGUGAGUGGAAUUCCGAGUGUAGAGGUGAAAUUCGUAGAUAUUCGGAAGAACACCAGUGGCGAAGGCGACUCACUGGACAAGUAUUGACGCUGAGGUACGAAAGCGUGGGGAGCAAACAGGAUUAGAUACCCUGGUAGUCCACGCCGUAAACGAUGAUAACUAGCUGUUCGGGCUCUACGAGCUUGAGUGGCGCAGCUAACGCAUUAAGUUAUCCGCCUGGGGAGUACGGUCGCAAGAUUAAAAACUCAAAAGUAUAAGUUAGGACGUGNGAGACGCGACGACGACGACGACGGAGGGAGGAGG